AACGAACGCUGGCGGCAUGCCUAACACAUGCAAGUCGAACGAGACCUUCGGGUCUAGUGGCGCACGGGUGCGUAACGCGUGGGAACCUGCCCUUAGGUUCGGAAUAACUCCCCGAAAGGGGUGCUAAUACCGGAUAAUGUCUUCGGACCAAAGAUUUAUCGCCUUUGGAUGGGCCCGCGUUGGAUUAGCUAGUUGGUAGGGUAAAAGCCUACCAAGGCGACGAUCCAUAGCUGGUCUGAGAGGAUGAUCAGCCACACUGGGACUGAGACACGGCCCAGACUGCUACGGGAGGCAGCGGUGGGGAAUAUUGGACAAUGGGCGUGAGCCUGAUCCAGCAAUGCCGCGUGAGCGAUGAAGGCGUUAGGGUUGUAAAGCUCUUUUACCCGGGAUGAUAAUGACAGUACCGGGAGAAUAAGCUCCGGCUAACUCCGUG
RNAcentral lists this ribosomal RNA (433 nucleotides) under uncultured bacterium. RNAcentral describes it as "partial 16S ribosomal RNA". It matches the Rfam family "Bacterial small subunit ribosomal RNA", at positions 29 to 507 of the family's 1533-position model. The record is from RNAcentral.